UCAAGUCAGAGAAAAUAGACCCCUAUAAGAGAAAGCGUUAUCACUAUACGAAAUGAAGCAGCGGCUAGCACGCUAAGCUAAGAUCAACCACUUGGAGAACGCGGAGCCUUUCUUUCUCGGUCGUCUGUCUUAAUAAGUGGAUUCCGAUUCAUGCGGUCGUUCUCUGCUGCAUUGGUCUUUUCACUCCCCACUCGCCACCAUAACAAAAUGUUUCCACUAUAUCUCAGGAGUAGUCAAAGGAAGUACGGCGGGUCCAAGUAGGAAAAAAUUCACUAAGAAGUAGGGCAUACAGCAAUGGAUCAAUUCAUUCAACAAAAUCCGUUCGGAUCAGACCAGGAUGAAUGGGAUUGGUCUGAACUCUCGCUCGGAUGGUUGACUCCCGC
RNAcentral lists this long non-coding RNA (383 nucleotides) under Olea europaea (common olive). Its description in RNAcentral is "long non-coding RNA (OEUR_LNC004984)". Lineage: Eukaryota; Viridiplantae; Streptophyta; Magnoliopsida; Lamiales; Oleaceae. The record is from RNAcentral.